Penaeus vannamei (Pacific white shrimp) is the source of this 362-nucleotide non-coding RNA. The record is from RefSeq and is a predicted model, not a curated record. Lineage: Eukaryota; Metazoa; Arthropoda; Malacostraca; Decapoda; Penaeidae.
GAGGCGACCAAGACGGCAGUUCCCAGGCAGCGGCGGUUGCACACGGCACAAGAUUUCCUCCGCGCGUGUCCUUCCGAGAGAUCUCUUGGGAUAAAGUGUUCUUGUUUUCCUUUUCGGCUUCGACGACGCCUCCUCCAGCAUGGGCGGAACUGCUUGCUGCCGCGACGGACGAUGCUGCGGGUGCUGCUCCCUUCGCGCCGGUGCCCUGGCCAUUGCUAUUCUGAACCUGUUGGUCUCCAUUGUUGGCGUGGUGUUAGUCAUAUACUUCUCUAGUAGAGGAGGCUCUGUACAGUGGGUAAGGCUCGCCAUCCACGUCAUCCAGCUGAUUUUCAACUGUCUCCUUAUUCAUGGCAUUCGGAAGG